AGAGUUUGAUCCUGGCUCAGGAUGAACGCUGGCGGCGUGCCUAAUACAUGCAAGUCGAACGCUUCACUUCGGUGAAGAGUGGCGAACGGGUGAGUAAUACAUAAGUAACCUGGCAUCUACAGGGGGAUAACUGAUGGAAACGUCAGCUAAGACCGCAUAGGUGUAGAGAUCGCAUGAACUCUAUAUGAAAAGUGCUACGGGACUGGUAGAUGAUGGACUUAUGGCGCAUUAGCUUGUUGGUAGGGUAACGGCCUACCAAGGCGACGAUGCGUAGCCGACCUGAGAGGGUGACCGGCCACACUGGGACUGAGACACGGCCCAGACUCCUACGGGAGGCAGCAGUAGGGAAUUUUCGGCAAUGGGGGAAACCCUGACCGAGCAACGCCGCGUGAAGGAAGAAGUAAUUCGUUAUGUAAACUUCUGUCAUAGAGGAAGAACGGUGGAUAUAGGGAAUGAUAUCCAAGUGACGGUACUCUAUAAGAAAGCCACGGCUAACUACGUGCCAGCAGCCGCGGUAAUACGUAGGUGGCGAGCGUUAUCCGGAAUUAUUGGGCGUAAAGAGGGAGCAGGCGGCACUAAGGGUCUGUGGUGAAAGAUCGAAGCUUAACUUCGGUAAGCCAUGGAAACCGUAGAGCUAGAGUGUGUGAGAGGAUCGUGGAAUUCCAUGUGUAGCGGUGAAAUGCGUAGAUAUAUGGAGGAACACCAGUGGCGAAGGCGACGAUCUGGCGCAUAACUGACGCUCAGUCCCGAAAGCGUGGGGAGCAAAUAGGAUUAGAUACCCUAGUAGUCCACGCCGUAAACGAUGAGUACUAAGUGGUGGGGUGGUCAAACCUUCAUGGCUUGCAGUUAACGCAAUAAGUAUUCCGCGUGAGUGGUACGUUCGCAAGAAUGAAACUCAAAGGAAUUGACGGGGGCCCCGCACAAGCGGGGGAGCAUGUGGUUUAAUUCGAAGCAACGCGAAGAACCUUACCAGGUCUUGACAUCGAUCUAAAGGCUCCAGAGAUGGAGAGAUAGCUAUAGAGAAGACAGGUGGUGCAUGGUUGUCGUCAGCUCGUGUCGUGAGAUGUUGGGUUAAGUCCCGCAACGAGCGCAACCCCUGUUGCCAGUUGCCAGCAUUAAGUUGGGGACUCUGGCGAGACUGCCGGUGACAAGCCGGAGGAAGGCGGGGAUGACGUCAAAUCAUCAUGCCCCUUAUGACCUGGGCUACACACGUGCUACAAUGGACAGAGCAGAGGGAAGCGAAGCCGCGAGGUGGAGCGAAACCCAUAAAACUGUUCUCAGUUCGGACUGCAGUCUGCAACUCGACUGCACGAAGAUGGAAUCGCUAGUAAUCGCGAAUCAGCAUGUCGCGGUGAAUACGUUCUCGGGCCUUGCACACACCGCCCGUCA
This 1389-nucleotide ribosomal RNA is filed under the name uncultured bacterium. RNAcentral's name for it is "bacterial SSU rRNA". It matches the Rfam family "Bacterial small subunit ribosomal RNA". The record is from RNAcentral.